Molecule: ribosomal RNA, 1112 nt
Filed under: Salmonella enterica subsp. salamae
Lineage: Bacteria; Pseudomonadati; Pseudomonadota; Gammaproteobacteria; Enterobacterales; Enterobacteriaceae
Description: bacterial SSU rRNA
Rfam family: Bacterial small subunit ribosomal RNA
Source: RNAcentral
AAAUUGAAGAGUUUGAUCAUGGCUCAGAUUGAACGCUGGCGGCAGGCCUAACACAUGCAAGUCGAACGGUAACAGGAAGCAGCUUGCUGCUUCGCUGACGAGUGGCGGACGGGUGAGUAAUGUCUGGGAAACUGCCUGAUGGAGGGGGAUAACUACUGGAAACGGUGGCUAAUACCGCAUAACGUCGCAAGACCAAAGAGGGGGACCUUCGGGCCUCUUGCCAUCAGAUGUGCCCAGAUGGGAUUAGCUAGUUGGUGAGGUAACGGCUCACCAAGGCGACGAUCCCUAGCUGGUCUGAGAGGAUGACCAGCCACACUGGAACUGAGACACGGUCCAGACUCCUACGGGAGGCAGCAGUGGGGAAUAUUGCACAAUGGGCGCAAGCCUGAUGCAGCCAUGCCGCGUGUAUGAAGAAGGCCUUCGGGUUGUAAAGUACUUUCAGCGGGGAGGAAGGUGCUGUGGUUAAUAACCGCAGCAAUUGACGUUACCCGCAGAAGAAGCACCGGCUAACUCCGUGCCAGCAGCCGCGGUAAUACGGAGGGUGCAAGCGUUAAUCGGAAUUACUGGGCGUAAAGCGCACGCAGGCGGUCUGUCAAGUCGGAUGUGAAAUCCCCGGGCUCAACCUGGGAACUGCAUUCGAAACUGGCAGGCUUGAGUCUUGUAGAGGGGGGUAGAAUUCCAGGUGUAGCGGUGAAAUGCGUAGAGAUCUGGAGGAAUACCGGUGGCGAAGGCGGCCCCCUGGACAAAGACUGACGCUCAGGUGCGAAAGCGUGGGGAGCAAACAGGAUUAGAUACCCUGGUAGUCCACGCCGUAAACGAUGUCUACUUGGAGGUUGUGCCCUUGAGGCGUGGCUUCCGGAGCUAACGCGUUAAGUAGACCGCCUGGGGAGUACGGCCGCAAGGUUAAAACUCAAAUGAAUUGACGGGGGCCCGCACAAGCGGUGGAGCAUGUGGUUUAAUUCGAUGCAACGCGAAGAACCUUACCUGGUCUUGACAUCCACGGAAGGUCUCAGAGAUGAGACUGUGCCUUCGGGAACCGUGAGACAGGUGCUGCAUGGCUGUCGUCAGCUCGUGUUGUGAAAUGUUGGGUUAAGUCCCGCAACGAGCGCAAC